CUCAUUAUUAUGAGAUAAUUAUAGUGUUCUAUAUAUAUCUAUGGGCGUGACAGCCAUAGGUGACAACAACCCAGGCGCGACGGAAGUACUCUGGCGUGACGGAAGUGAUUUAUUUUUUAAACUUUUUUUUAAACACCGCUAAAUCGGAAACCAAAGAUGAACCAUGGAAUACGCUUGGUACCUUGCCAUGGAGGCACCAUUCGACUUCACUGUUAAAGAAAUGCCAGUCCUCAGAAAAUGGUGGUGCACAGUACUACUGCUUGAGAACUUCCACCUGGAUGGGCACGGCAGAAGGUUCCCACGCUUCAUGGAGGAGGCCAAACAAAUGGCGGUUCGACUACCGUACUUCCACCAGUCUCAGACUGAAGCGAAAAAAAGAAUGAGUUGGAGCUGAUGGCAGUCAGCAUGAAGAAACUAUAUCUUAAAGCUUCUGUAGAUUAUUUGUUAAAUAAAUUGUGAGGAAACUUUGGUGUGGUUAUUCUUCAACUAAUUUAUUCUAUUUAUAUCAAACUAUGAUGAUAUACUCAACAAAAAAAUAAAUUUGAUUCUAUUAGACAUAUUAAAACAAAUACAUAAUUUCAAAG
This 584-nucleotide long non-coding RNA is filed under the name Gadus morhua (Atlantic cod). RNAcentral's name for it is "lncRNA (ENSGMOG00000025551.1)". The record is from RNAcentral. Lineage: Eukaryota; Metazoa; Chordata; Actinopteri; Gadiformes; Gadidae.